UCAGCAUUGUGAACAAUUUGCCUAUAAGGAAAUAUUCCUUACAAGCCACUGCUAUAAGAAUAUUUUGGACUGCACUACACCUACAAGUAAAUGACUUCAAACUGUUUGUUUUCUGAGAUUUUUCUUCAGUAUUUGGGUUGCUGUUCUAUCUAUUGAAGUGGGUACUACAAUGUUAUUCGAGAAUUGUUCUUUCCAAAUCAUCGACACUAUGCAGAAAGGUAGGAUUCAUUAAUUUACCUUUUCCUGGAAAUAAGGAUAACAAUCUCUACAUGCAGUUGAUUGCUAAAGAAAGAGUUUGUGACAUGUAAUUGUUUUUUGGGCACUAGAGUGUAGGACUACAAGAGAAGCAUUAUGCAGAUGCCGAACAUGGUAUAUUAUGGGACAUUUGUAAUGUUGUAUACCCAAAG
Long non-coding RNA from Agrilus planipennis (emerald ash borer), 407 nucleotides. RefSeq lists it as uncharacterized. Lineage: Eukaryota; Metazoa; Arthropoda; Insecta; Coleoptera; Buprestidae. The transcript has 3 exons. The record is from RefSeq and is a predicted model, not a curated record.